RNAcentral lists this ribosomal RNA (497 nucleotides) under uncultured bacterium. RNAcentral describes it as "partial 16S ribosomal RNA". It matches the Rfam family "Bacterial small subunit ribosomal RNA", at positions 28 to 507 of the family's 1533-position model. The record is from RNAcentral.
GAUGAACGCUGGCGGCGUGCCUAAUACAUGCAAGUCCAGCGAACGGACGAGAAGCUUGCUUCUCUGAUGUUAGCGGCGGACGGGUGAGUAACACGUGGAUAACCUACCUAUAAGACUGGGAUAACUUCGGGACACCGUAGCUAAUACCGGAUAAUAUUUUGAACCGCAUGGUUCAAAAGUGAAAGACGGUCUUGCUGUCACUUAUAGAUGCAUCCGCGCUGCAUUAGCUAGUUGGUAAGUUAACGGCUUACCAAGGCAACGAUGCAUAGCCGACCUGAGAGGGUGAUAGGCCACACUGGAACUGAGACACGGUCCAGACUCCUACGGGAGGCAGCAGUAGGGAAUCUUCCGCAAUGGGCGAAAGCCUGACGGAGCAACGCCGCGUGAGUGAUGAAGGUGUUCGGAUCGUAAAACUCUGUUAUUAGGGAAGAACAUAUGUGUAAGUAACUGUGCACAUCUUGACGGUACCUAAUCAGAAAGCCACGGCUAACUACGUG